CAGAGGGUGCAAACGUUGUUCGGAAUUACUGGGCGUAAAGCGCGUGUAGGCGGCCCUGCAAGUCGGGUGUGAAAUCCCACGGCUCAACCGUGGAAGUGCACUCGAAACUGCAGGGCUAGAGUCCUGGAGAGGAAGGUGGAAUGCUUGGUGUAGAGGUGAAAUUCGUAGAUAUCAAGCGGAACACCGGUGGCGAAGGCGGCCUUCUGGACAGUGACUGACGCUGAGACGCGAAAGCGUGGGGAGCAAACAGGAUUAGAUACCCUGGUAGUCCACGCCGUAAACGAUGAGUGCUAGGUGUCACGGGCUUUGACCCUCGUGGUGCCGAAGCUAACGCGUUAAGCACUCCGCCUGGGGAGUACGGUCGCAAGACUAA
This 373-nucleotide ribosomal RNA is filed under the name uncultured organism. Its description in RNAcentral is "bacterial SSU rRNA". It matches the Rfam family "Bacterial small subunit ribosomal RNA", at positions 526 to 897 of the family's 1533-position model. The record is from RNAcentral.